This is a non-coding RNA of Poecilia formosa (Amazon molly), 73 nucleotides long. The record is from Rfam. Lineage: Eukaryota; Metazoa; Chordata; Actinopteri; Cyprinodontiformes; Poeciliidae.
GUUUCUGUAGUGUAGUGGUUAUCACGUUUGCUUCACACGCAAAAGGUCUCUGGUUCAAAACCAGACAGAAACA